GGAACUGUGGCUCAGUGGGAGAGCAUCUGCUUUGCAUGCAGAAGGUCCAAGGUUUUAUCUGUGGUAUCAACA
Molecule: transfer RNA, 72 nt
Filed under: Sphaerodactylus townsendi
Lineage: Eukaryota; Metazoa; Chordata; Lepidosauria; Squamata; Sphaerodactylidae
Description: tRNA-Ala
Rfam family: tRNA
About the family: Transfer RNA (tRNA) molecules are approximately 80 nucleotides in length. Their secondary structure includes four short double-helical elements and three loops (D, anti-codon, and T loops). Further hydrogen bonds mediate the characteristic L-shaped molecular structure. tRNAs have two regions of fundamental functional importance: the anti-codon, which is responsible for specific mRNA codon recognition, and the 3' end, to which the tRNAs corresponding amino acid is attached (by aminoacyl-tRNA synthetases). tRNAs cope with the degeneracy of the genetic code in two manners: having more than one tRNA (with a specific anti-codon) for a particular amino acid; and 'wobble' base-pairing, i.e. permitting non-standard base-pairing at the 3rd anti-codon position.
Source: RNAcentral